Acanthosepion pharaonis is the source of this 111-nucleotide non-coding RNA. The record is from the annotation of a GenBank genome assembly. Lineage: Eukaryota; Metazoa; Mollusca; Cephalopoda; Sepiida; Sepiidae.
UACGGCAACAUCACGUUGAAACACCGGUUCCUGUACGAACACCGAAGUUAAGCAAAGUUGACUCUGGUCAGUACCUAGAUGGGUCACCGCAUAGGAAUACCAGGUUCUGUA